AUUUACCCCUUUGUGACGUCUAUGCUUUGUGACCACCGAAUCCUACUGCGGUAAACGUGCGAAGGAGUCCUUCAGCAUCAAGGGGUUGAUGGCUUGCUUGACAGCACGCUUUGCGUUACAGGAAUAGGCCUACCAACCUACGUUCAGUGUAAUACUUCUGCCGUUCAGGCACCGAUUUUAUAUUUGAACAUUUCUUCAUAGACAUUACAUAUAGGCUUUACAGUGGUUUGGUUGGUAGGUUUUAAACGUAAUUUUUGGUUUUACUACGGAAGAUUGACUCACUCAACUUGCUAACGUAACGUUACAUCUGGAUCUGGAUGCGGAGCAGCAGAACUACCACACCAGAAGCUCGUGGAUCAGCUCAGAAGGAGAGAGAGAAGAAUGAGUAAUCACAGUCUUGACCAUGAAGCAAGGACCAUGAAGGGAUGGCCAUCGAAAAGAAAUACCUGUAUUUUUAGGCAGUUACAGGCUACAGAAAGAAGAUGCGGAGAGUGAUCUCCCAGCAUCCUCAACUGGGUGCCAGUCCGCGUGUUAGGCUAUUAUAUGUAAUGACCACCUUAGUCCAGACUACUGAAGUUUGGAUACUAUCAUGGUCAAGACUUACAAAGUACUAUGGGCUGGCUGAGAAGAGGACUGGACUGAGACAUUUGCACAACCAAGCCAGCUUGGAGGAGAGGAUAUGGCUCACCAAUGCCAGCAAAAAGAGGAACCUCCUGGCCCAGACAUCAAUUGUGGUUUUAUUUUGUGAAAUAAAAAGACCAUACA
This is a long non-coding RNA of Alosa alosa (allis shad), 765 nucleotides long. RefSeq lists it as uncharacterized. The record is from RefSeq and is a predicted model, not a curated record. Lineage: Eukaryota; Metazoa; Chordata; Actinopteri; Clupeiformes; Clupeidae. The transcript is spliced from 4 exons.